UGUCUUGGGCUGCACACGUGCUACAAUGGCCGGUACAAUGAGCUGCGAUGCCGUGAGGUGGAGCGAAUCUCAAAAAGCCGGUCUCAGUUCGGAUUGGGGUCUGCAACUCGACCCCAUGAAGUCGGAGUCGCUAGUAAUCGCAGAUCAGCAUUGCUGCGGUGAAUACGUUCCCGGGCCUUGUACACACCGCCCGUCACGUCACGAAAGUCGGUAACACCCGAAGCCGGUGGCCCAACCCCUUGUGGGAGGGAGCUGUCGAAGGUGGGACUGGCGAUUGGGACGAAGUCGUAACAAGGUAGCCGUACCGGAAGGUGCGGCUGGAUCACCUCCUUUCUAAGGAGCAUUUCUUGGCUGCUGUUUCGGUGGUCUAGAGGCUGGUUCAUCAGCGCGUGUCUGAUGCUGGUUGCUCAUGGGUGGAACGUUGACUAUUCGGCAUGGUUCGGGAUGGAUCGGCUGCUAGUACUGCCCUGGUGGGUGUGGAACGCUGGCUGGUUCGGCCGGGGUGUGUCGGGCGCGCUGUUGGGUGUCUGAGGGUAUGGCCGUGAGGCUGCCUUCGGUUGCUGGUCCCGGUGUUCCCGGACGGUUGGUUCGGGGUGAUGGGUGGCUGGUCGUUGUAUGAGAACUGCACAGUGGACGCGAGCAUCUGUGGCCAAGUUUUUAAGGGCGC
Molecule: small RNA, 667 nt
Filed under: uncultured bacterium
Lineage: Bacteria
Description: bacterial SSU rRNA
Rfam family: Bacterial small subunit ribosomal RNA (bases 1-333)
Source: RNAcentral